GUGGAUUCCUGGAGACAGGGUCCUUCAGUUCGGCUGGCGGGAACACAGGUGCUGCAUGGCUGUCGUCAGCUCGUGUCGUGAGAUGUUGGGUUAAGUCCCGCAACGAGCGCAACCCUCGCCCCUAGUUGCCAUCAUUCAGUUGGGCACUCUAGGGGGACUGCCGGUGAUAAGCCGCGAGGAAGGUGGGGAUGACGUCAAGUCCUCAUGGCCCUUACGGGCUGGGCUACACACGUGCUACAAUGGCGGUGACAAUGGGCAGCGAACCCGCGAGGGGGAGCUAAUCCCAAAAAGCCGUCUCAGUUCAGAUUGCACUCUGCAACUCGAGUGCAUGAAGGCGGAAUCGCUAGUAAUCGUGGAUCAGAACGCCACGGUGAAUACGUUCCCGGGCCUUGUACACACCGCCCGUCACACCAUGGGAGUUGGUCUUACCCGACGGCGCUGCGCCAACCGCAAGGAGGCAGGCGACCACGGUAGGGUCAGCGACUGGGGUGAAGUCGUAACAAGGUAGCCGUAGGGGAACCUGCGGCUGGAUCACCUCCU
RNAcentral lists this ribosomal RNA (540 nucleotides) under uncultured bacterium. RNAcentral's name for it is "bacterial SSU rRNA". It matches the Rfam family "Bacterial small subunit ribosomal RNA", at positions 993 to 1531 of the family's 1533-position model. The record is from RNAcentral.